GAUGAAGAACGUAGCGAAAUGCGAUACGUAGUGUGAAUUGCAGAAUUCAGUGAAUCAUCCAAUCUUUGAACGCACAUUGCACCUCUCGGUAUUCCGGGAGGUAUGCCUGUUCGAGCGUCAUUUGUACCCUCAAGCUCUGCUUGGUGUUGGGUGUUUGUUCCGCCUCUGUGUGUGAACUCGCCUCAAAACAAUUGGCAGCCGGCGUACUUGUUUCGGAGCGCAGCACAUUUUGCGAUCCAGAUCAACGUACAGCGGCAUCCAAGAAGCCUUAUUUAACGCUCUUGACCUCGGAUCAGGUAGGGAUACCCGCUGAACUUAAGCAUAUCAAUAAGCGGAGGA
This 339-nucleotide unclassified non-coding RNA is filed under the name soil metagenome. RNAcentral's name for it is "partial contains 5.8S ribosomal RNA, internal transcribed spacer 2, and large subunit ribosomal RNA". The stretch from base 1 to 120 matches the Rfam family "5.8S ribosomal RNA", at positions 35 to 154 of the family's 154-position model. The record is from RNAcentral.